RNAcentral lists this ribosomal RNA (222 nucleotides) under uncultured bacterium. RNAcentral's name for it is "partial 16S ribosomal RNA". It matches the Rfam family "Bacterial small subunit ribosomal RNA", at positions 109 to 334 of the family's 1533-position model. The record is from RNAcentral.
AGUAAUACAUCGGAACGUGUCUUCUAGUGGGGGAUAACUGCCCGAAAGGGCAGCUAAUACCGCAUGAGACCUGAGGGUGAAGGCGGGGGAUCGCAAGACCUCGCGCUGGAAGAGCGGCAGAUGUCCGAUUAGCUAGUUGGUGAGGUAAAGGCUCACCAAGGCGACGAUCGGUAGCUGGUCUGAGAGGACGACCAGCCACACUGGGACUGAGACACGGCCCAG